UCGCUUUCGCCCAAGGCCCAUGGCUCCCCUUGUCGGUCGUCGGGUUCUUCAUGGUCGCCGUGCAUGUGCGUCACCCAGUCGGUGCCGCGCAGGGCAUGGACAACGAUCAUGCGAGCGAGCCACUCGAAGCCGCCCUCGACGCCAGCGAGGCCGGCUUCCGCGGCGGCUCUCGCGUCAGCCGCGGUCUCGUACUCGCCUCUCGGGCCUCGCGGGAAAUUGACCUCGGUGUCGUCGCCCCACACAAAGGCGUCGGCCACGGUGGGCGCAUCCGAUAUACACAGGCCCUUGUCGCAUCGCUGUACCCGGUACACCGACACAACGGCACCAUAGGCGCCGCCGUCACCGUUGCCGGCGUGCCCUAUAUCUGUCGGCCACAGCACGACGAGAUAGAGCGUCGAUGGAUCGCGCCACGGGGCGCAGCCGGCGGCCGUGUCCCAGCCGGGAAAGGGCUCGGGAAAUUGUCUAUGCACCGCGGCGGCGAUCACCGCGGCCAGUUCGGUGGCCACAUACGCGGUACGGUCCAAGAGAAUCUCACGGAGGUGUUGCGCAAAAAAGGCAAGCACCCCUGUGCACGGUCCCUCGGUGCAUUCCGUGGCGAUCCACAGGACCCACAACAGACGAUCAAAGAGGCUGCCAGUCGCGGGGACCUGCCCGUUGGCCACAAGUCGCUCGGCCUCGGCGCGUGCGUCGGGAUAGGCGUCAAGCGCGGCGAUCCACACGGGGUCGGCACCGCGCAGCAGCGACUCGCUCAUACCGUCGACCUUGUCCUCUGUGCGAACCGGUCGCCGUCGCCUACGGUCUCGGCCGCUCCGGGGGGCCUCUUGUGUGGGCGCACGCCGCCGCGCGCGCAAGGGCACGCCUUCACACAAAAAAAAACCCCGACGAGGAUGGACGAUUGCCUAGCACGCGACCGGCGCCUUGCAAAGCAGGGAGAAUGCCAUACUUGGCGUCUGCCGCCGCAAGCCGCUCCCCUUUUGGUCAAUGCGGUGCUUUUUCCGUUUCAAUGGAUCGCCGAUCCGAUGCUCGAAAGAUGGGGCUCUGAAACUGCAAAUUUCGGAAAAAUGCACAAAAGGCCCAUGCCAUCGCCUGCACAUGAAAAAAGUACACUGAUUGUCCUCUUGCCGAGCGCAGGCCAACCAUUUUCGAAAAAACGCUGAUCAUUA
This 1163-nucleotide long non-coding RNA is filed under the name Pandoravirus dulcis. RNAcentral's name for it is "putative ncRNA". The record is from RNAcentral.